UCGGGAAUGCCUACGCCUGCUUACCUGCCUAUUAGGCAUGGAAUAGGCACGUAGGCAGGCAAGAUGUAGGCACGAUG
This is a microRNA precursor of Caenorhabditis elegans, 77 nucleotides long. The record is from Ensembl. Lineage: Eukaryota; Metazoa; Nematoda; Chromadorea; Rhabditida; Rhabditidae.